CCUACGGGAGGCAGCAGUGAGGAAUAUUGGUCAAUGGGCUUACGCCUGAACCAGCCAAGUCGCGUGAGGGAAGACUGCCCUAUGGGUUGUAAACCUCUUUUGUCAGGGAGUAACGCCGGCUACGUGUAGCCGGACUGAGAGUACCUGAAGAAAAAGCAUCGGCUAACUCCGUGCCAGCAGCCGCGGUAAUACGGAGGAUGCGAGCGUUAUCCGGUUUGAUUGGGUUUAAAGGGUGCGUAGGCGGAAUGCCAAGUCAGCGGUAAAAUCGCGGGGCUCAACCUCGCUCCGCCGUUGAAACUGGCGUUCUUGAGUGGGCGAGAAGUAUGCGGAAUGCGUGGUGUAGCGGUGAAAUGCAUAGAUAUCACGAAGAACUCCGAUUGCGAAGGCAGCAUACCGGCGCCCAACUGACGCUGAAGCACGAAAGCGUGGGUAUCGAACAGGAUUAGAUACCCUAGUAGUC
This 460-nucleotide ribosomal RNA is filed under the name uncultured bacterium. RNAcentral's name for it is "partial 16S ribosomal RNA". It matches the Rfam family "Bacterial small subunit ribosomal RNA", at positions 338 to 795 of the family's 1533-position model. The record is from RNAcentral.